CAAUAGCGUAUAUUUAAGUUGUUGCAGUUAAAAAGCUCGUAGUUGGAUUUCGGUUAAGAGCGACCGGUCCGCCGUUUGGUGUGCACUGGUUGGUUUUAACUUCCUGUAGAGGACGUGCUCUGGGUUUAACGACCUGGACUCGGAGUCUACGUGGUUACUUUGAAAAAAUUAGAGUGUUAAAAGCGGGCUUACGCUUGAAUAUUUCAGCAUGGAAUAACACUAUAGGACUCCUGUCCUAUUUCGUUGGUCUCGGGACGGGAGUAAUGAUUAAGAGGAACAGUUGGGGGCAUUCGUAUUUCAUUGUCAGAGGUGAAAUUCUUGGAUUUAUGAAAGACGAACUUCUGCGAAAGCAUUUGCCAAGGAUGUUUUCAUUAA
RNAcentral lists this ribosomal RNA (375 nucleotides) under uncultured eukaryote. RNAcentral's name for it is "partial 18S ribosomal RNA". It matches the Rfam family "Eukaryotic small subunit ribosomal RNA", at positions 592 to 976 of the family's 1831-position model. The record is from RNAcentral.